Tigriopus californicus is the source of this 1193-nucleotide long non-coding RNA. RefSeq lists it as uncharacterized. The record is from RefSeq and is a predicted model, not a curated record. Lineage: Eukaryota; Metazoa; Arthropoda; Copepoda; Harpacticoida; Harpacticidae. The transcript is spliced from 2 exons.
AGUUUACUUCAUUUAUUAGCAAUACCAUGGUCUCUAUAAUGCUUAUUAUGAUUUAGAAUCAAUACAGAGCCACCAAGGCAUACAUUCCAUCCCAAAUAUUUUUUCUUGUUCACUCGCAAGUCCAAUUUCUGCAUUUCAAGUAUCAAGUCACUUAAUCAACGGAACUGAUUUUCCUCCUCUCGUACUGUCCGAGUGGUCAAAACUCUGUUCAACCCAGCAACAAGCUCCGUCGAUUUAACAAGAUAAUGGAAUGUAAAACACAGGAAUUUGGCAAGUAAGAAUAUUUGGAAUGGAAUGUAUGCCUUGGUGGCUCUGUAUUGCUAGUAAAUGUAAUAAACUCGUUUUGGUCCAAACUUGUCCAAGCAGCCGCAACCCGGCCAAACGGCCCAUUUCGCUUUAUUUACUCCCUGCCGAAAAUGACGAAAAAUAAAAAUGAGAGAGACGAGUUUGUCUGGAGGCAUUAGUUCCGUGGAAGAAACUUGCCGGGAGAUAAACGUGAAAUUACAGGUAAAGUGGGGACAAACGUGAGUAAAGAAGCGAGCAAACCCUGAAAAAUAGCUACCAUCCAAGAAAAGACUCACUUCUGGAUACGUUAUGAUUUUAUGUUACCAAUCCGCAAUGAAUAUUAAAGAUGGAAUUAAAACUUAGAAAAACGUUAGGCAAAACCUGAAGGAUUAGUGCUCAUAGUGAUGCACGUGGAAUGAAAUCCUAUUCGAAUUGGGCAAUGAGCACCAUCAUGAACACUCCCGCCAACAAAGCCAAGAUCUCCCAGAUGGAUUGCUUGAGAGUGGCGCCUUCCAGGAGUUCGGGAAUCACAGACACGGUGGCGAUGUAAAUAAAUCCACCGGCCGUGAAGGGCAAGAUGUAAGCUGUGAUGGCGUCAUCCACGCCCUCGGCUAACAACGAGCACACGCAGCCGGCAAAGGCACCCACAGCCGUUAACAAUUGAAGACAUUUGGCUUUGAAGGGUUUGACGCCUAAUUUAGACAAGAAAUAUAAAGUUACAAGUAUAUUUUCUACUUUGGGCGCGAUCAAAAUUCCAGUUUCUUACCUGACUGAAUGAGAAUUGCGUAGUCUCCGAUCUCGUGGGGAAUUUCGUGGAAGAGAAUUGUGAAGGUGGUCACCCAACCAAUGGACCUUCCAGCCAAGAAAGAGGCGCCUAUAGCCAAGCCAUCAGUAAAAUUGUGAAAGAA